UUUUGUAUAAUGGGUCAGCGACUUAUAUUCUGUAGCAAGGUUAACCGAAUAGGGGAGCCGAAGGGAAACCGAGUCUUAACUGGGCGUUAAGUUGCAGGGUAUAGACCCGAAACCCGGUGAUCUAGCCAUGGGCAGGUUGAAGGUUGGGUAACACUAACUGGAGGACCGAACCGACUAAUGUUGAAAAAUUAGCGGAUGACUUGUGGCUGGGGGUGAAAGGCCAAUCAAACCGGGAGAUAGCUGGUUCUCCCCGAAAGCUAUUUAGGUAGCGCCUCGUGAAUUCAUCUCCGGGGGUAGAGCACUGUUUCGGCUAGGGGGUCAUCCCGACUUACCAACCCGAUGCAAACUGCGAAUACCGGAGAAUGUUAUCACGGGAGACACACGGCGGGUGCUAACGUCCGUCGUGAAGAGGGAAACAACCCAGACCGCCAGCUAAGGUCCCAAAGUCAUGGUUAAGUGGGAAACGAUGUGGGAAGGCUCAGACAGCCAGGAUGUUGGCUUAGAAGCAGCCAUCAUUUAAAGAAAGCGUAAUAGCUCACUGGUCGAGUCGGCCUGCGCGGAAGAUGUAACGGGGCUAAACCAUGCACC
RNAcentral lists this ribosomal RNA (588 nucleotides) under Citrobacter amalonaticus. RNAcentral describes it as "partial 23S ribosomal RNA". It matches the Rfam family "Bacterial large subunit ribosomal RNA", at positions 606 to 1195 of the family's 2925-position model. The record is from RNAcentral. Lineage: Bacteria; Pseudomonadati; Pseudomonadota; Gammaproteobacteria; Enterobacterales; Enterobacteriaceae.